RNAcentral lists this ribosomal RNA (141 nucleotides) under uncultured bacterium. Its description in RNAcentral is "partial 16S ribosomal RNA". It matches the Rfam family "Bacterial small subunit ribosomal RNA", at positions 338 to 492 of the family's 1533-position model. The record is from RNAcentral.
CCUACCGGAGGCAGCAGUAGGGAAUCUUCCACAAUGGACGAAAGUNUGAUGGUGCUUCGCCGCGUGAGUGAAGAAGGUUUUCGGAUCGUAAAACUCUGUUGUUGGAGAAGAAUGUAUCUGAUAGUAACUGAUCAGGUAGUG